Molecule: ribosomal RNA, 450 nt
Filed under: uncultured organism
Description: partial 16S ribosomal RNA
Rfam family: Bacterial small subunit ribosomal RNA
Source: RNAcentral
ACUCCUACGGGAGGCAGCAGUGGGGAAUAUUGGACAAUGGGCGCAAGCCUGAUCCAGCCAUGCCGCGUGAGUGAUGAAGGCCCUAGGGUUGUAAAGCUCUUUUGUGCGGGAAGAUAAUGACGGUACCGCAAGAAUAAGCCCCGGCUAACUUCGUGCCAGCAGCCGCGGUAAUACGAAGGGGGCUAGCGUUGCUCGGAAUCACUGGGCGUAAAGGGUGCGUAGGCGGGGCUUUAAGUCAGGGGUGAAAUCCUGGAGCUCAACUCCAGAACUGCCUUUGAUACUGAAGAUCUUGAGUUCGGGAGAGGUGAGUGGAACUGCGAGUGUAGAGGUGAAAUUCGUAGAUAUUCGCAAGAACACCAGUGGCGAAGGCGGCUCACUGGCCCGAUACUGACGCUGAGGCACGAAAGCGUGGGGAGCAAACAGGAUUAGAAACCCCUGUAGUCCCAUGAU